Molecule: small nucleolar RNA, 96 nt
Organism: Octodon degus (degu)
Lineage: Eukaryota; Metazoa; Chordata; Mammalia; Rodentia; Octodontidae
Source: Ensembl
GCGCUGGGGGUCAAGCUGCAGCGCCAGAGAACACCCUCGUGCAUAACUGGGGCCGCUGCCCUCCGCGGAUGGCACCCUUAAGCAGGAGCAACACAG